AACAGCUUCAUGCUCGUGUUCGUCCAGCUCGUCCUGGUCAGGAAGUGUAGUUCAGGCUGUGUGAGCUGCUGAUAGAAAAUUGAACAAAUAAAAUAAAUCAAAGCUCAACCGCAAAUGUUUAAUUGAUUGUAGGCUUCUCUAAAUACCUUUAACUUAACCCGUAAAUGAAAGGAUAAGACAUAUUGUGGCGCGCGGCAGCGCCGGCGUGUGUGUUUGGACGGGGCGAAGAAGGACGCGGAGACAGCGUUCAUAACGAAUGAUUUAUUCGAACACCGGCACAAAGGAAAUGAUGCUCUCGGCCCGAGGACUCCGUUUCUUCCAGGACCUGUGCUUACGGCCAGCCUGCCUAGCGCUCCUAGGUUCUCCCUCAACACACUGGCAGACACAGUCAACCCACCAUUUCCCCCCGAAGUGCCCCCAGCGGUUACAGACGUUAUUUACAGAUUUCCUAUAAUGCAACUAUUUACAUUAAAUCACUAACGCGGGUCGUUACAAUAUUAUGAUAGUGGAACGGACCGGCGGUGUAGACAUUCUCAAUCAUUCUAAUUGAGAAAUUCUAAGAUCCUCUUUUUUCCUCGUUUUCUACUUCCCUGCCCCUCUUCUUCUUCUGUCUCUUCUGUUCUCUUUCUUUGUCCAUCGAUUUUUGUUUACUGAAGUUCACGGAAAACGAUGAGUUACACUUGUGCCCAUGAUAAAGCGACGUACUGGUGGUGUAACCCUUCAAAUAUCUUUCAUAUGAGAAAAAAUGGGGCAAUCCAAAAUCAAGGUCUGGGACAGGUGGGAAUCUUCCAAGGUGCUUACGUCGUCCAGGGCAUGAGACAAGAGUCAGAAUCUGUCAAAUUAGACUGUAGGUCGGGAACAUGGAAUCUCAAGAACCAGGAACAACAAGGGCAAAGGGGCAAGGAAGACCAGAAAGGAGGGACACUGAGGAAUAACCAUAAAGCCCAAAAAUAG
This 954-nucleotide long non-coding RNA is filed under the name Scleropages formosus (Asian bonytongue). RNAcentral's name for it is "lncRNA (ENSSFOG00015025399.1)". Lineage: Eukaryota; Metazoa; Chordata; Actinopteri; Osteoglossiformes; Osteoglossidae. The record is from RNAcentral.